This is a long non-coding RNA of Rhipicephalus sanguineus (brown dog tick), 396 nucleotides long. RefSeq lists it as uncharacterized. Lineage: Eukaryota; Metazoa; Arthropoda; Arachnida; Ixodida; Ixodidae. The transcript has 3 exons. The record is from RefSeq and is a predicted model, not a curated record.
AAAAGCCUAGUGCUAGACUUCCCGAGACGUCUAUAUCACCGUUCGAAACGUGCCACUUUUGGAGGAUGAAAGGAAAUUGCUUUUUGUUGUUUGCCUUCGUGACUUGUGGCAUCACUUUGUCCAUGUCGCUUCCGUCAGAAAGCAGAAACAAGGAAAUAUCUGCCAGGUUCUUUUCUGAUGGCCAGAGCUGGUGUCCUAAAGGACCUUGCUCCCGCGAAGACGAUCCAGUGUGUACGCCGUGUACAUGUGUAGCGACGAGUGGAAGAUAUAUGUGCUUAAACAUCAACGGCUUGCCGUGAAUAACAAGUGCAAAAUAUACUUGCUAGGAGGACUUGCGCUGUGAAAGAAAUAAAAAUUUCUUCGUUUAACCUUACUGAAGACCGCAAGGAAUUUUUG